AUGCUUCUGGUUCAUAUAUGUGAUGAAUGAGUAUUCACAUGUCUGCACAUGAUGUACCACCCCAGCUUCUCUUCUUACAUACAGGUACAUAAACCAUCUGACU
Sarcophilus harrisii (Tasmanian devil) is the source of this 103-nucleotide small nucleolar RNA. The record is from Ensembl. Lineage: Eukaryota; Metazoa; Chordata; Mammalia; Dasyuromorphia; Dasyuridae.